UCUAUUUUAGAAUUCUAUGAUAAUGCCUCGACCAAGUAAUCGUUAUUUAUUUAUUUAAUUAUUUGUUCCAGGGUGAGGAUCUUGGCGGCCUUGAUGUCAAAGCCCUUGAAGAAAUGCAAAAUUGUCAUGUCGAAGCCUUAUCAAAAAUAUGCCAAGAAAAGCUGAAGAACCGGACUCUGUUGAAUCAAGAGGAUGAGACCGCCAACUGAAAGUGAUUCGAUACUUUUUCUCACAUUACCAGAGGUAGGCGUUAUUUGAGUCUAGUAUUCAUGCUUUUAUCUUAUGUUUCAUGUUUCCACCAAAAAAUUCCAUUUCCGAUUGUAAUUUUUACUAUUUUUCUUAGAUAUAUGGCAUCUCUUUUUUUGGUACUGCUUAGUUUUGAACCCUUAGACCUCCAAUUUGAAGGUCAAAGGAAAACACCA
This is a long non-coding RNA of Dendrobium catenatum, 422 nucleotides long. RefSeq lists it as uncharacterized. The record is from RefSeq and is a predicted model, not a curated record. NCBI's taxonomy places the organism in Eukaryota, Viridiplantae, Streptophyta, Magnoliopsida, Asparagales, Orchidaceae. The transcript is spliced from 2 exons.